This 90-nucleotide transfer RNA is filed under the name Actinomycetota bacterium. RNAcentral describes it as "tRNA-Ser". It matches the Rfam family "tRNA". From Rfam's summary of the family: Transfer RNA (tRNA) molecules are approximately 80 nucleotides in length. RNAcentral also lists the same sequence under 1 other name. Lineage: Bacteria; Bacillati; Actinomycetota. The record is from RNAcentral.
GGAGGGGUGGCAGAGUGGUCGAAUGCGGCGGUCUUGAAAAUCGCUAGGCCGGGUUGACCGGUCUCGUGGGUUCGAAUCCCACCCCCUCCG